RNAcentral lists this ribosomal RNA (459 nucleotides) under uncultured Streptococcus sp. RNAcentral's name for it is "bacterial SSU rRNA". It matches the Rfam family "Bacterial small subunit ribosomal RNA", at positions 920 to 1382 of the family's 1533-position model. The record is from RNAcentral. Lineage: Bacteria; Bacillati; Bacillota; Bacilli; Lactobacillales; Streptococcaceae.
CCCGCACAAGCGGUGGAGCAUGUGGUUAAUUCGAAGCAACGCGAAGACCUUACCAGGUCUUGACAUCCCGAUGCUAUUCUAGAGAUAGAAAGUUACUUCGGUACAUCGGUGGCAGGUGGUGCAUGGUUGUCGUCAGCUCGUGUCGUGAGAUGUUGGGUUAAGUCCCGCAACGAGCGCAACCCCUAUUGUUAGUUGCCAUCAUUCAGUUGGGCACUCUAGCGAGACUGCCGGUAAUAAACCGGAGGAAGGUGGGGAUGACGUCAAAUCAUCAUGCCCCGUAUGACCUGGGCUACACACGUGCUACAAUGGUUGGUACAACGAGUUGCGAGUCGGUGACGGCGAGCUAAUCUCUUAAAGCCAAUCUCAGUUCGGAUUGUAGGCUGCAACUCGCCUACAUGAAGUCGGAAUCGCUAGUAAUCGCGGAUCAGCACGCCCGCGGUCGAAUACGUUCCGGGCCUU